UACGGAGGGUGCAAGCGUUAUCCGGAUUCACUGGGUUUAAAGGGUGCGUAGGUGGGCUAGUAAGUCCGUGGUGAAAUCUCCAAGCUUAACUUGGAAACUGCCGUGGAUACUAUUAGUCUUGAAUGUUGUGGAGGUAAGCGGAAUAUGUCAUGUAGCGGUGAAAUGCUUAGAUAUGACAUAGAACACUGAUAGCGGAGGCAGCUUGCUACACAAUGAUUGACACUGAGGCACGAAAGCGUGGGGAUCAAACAGG
RNAcentral lists this ribosomal RNA (253 nucleotides) under uncultured bacterium. RNAcentral's name for it is "partial 16S ribosomal RNA". It matches the Rfam family "Bacterial small subunit ribosomal RNA", at positions 524 to 776 of the family's 1533-position model. The record is from RNAcentral.